Non-coding RNA from Sciurus carolinensis (gray squirrel), 486 nucleotides. Lineage: Eukaryota; Metazoa; Chordata; Mammalia; Rodentia; Sciuridae. The record is from the annotation of a RefSeq genome assembly.
AUGGUCACCAGGAUCCUUUACUGUGUGGCUCUUUGUUUCCUAGGAGCAGGAUCCUCAGAUGUAGGAGUCACUCAGAUAGCCAGGCAUGAAGUGGCACAGAAAGGACAAGCAAUAACUCUGAGAUGUGAGCCGAUUUCAGGUCAUAACAUCCUUUUCUGGUGCAGACAGACUAUGGGGCAGAAGCUGGAGUUGCUGACUUACUUCCGUAGCCAGACUCUUAUUGAUGAUGGGGGAAUGCCCAAGGAUCGAUUCUCUGCUGCCAUGCCUCAGGCCUCCUUCUCCACCUUGAAGAUCCAGCCCACAGAACUCAGGGACUCAGCUGCAUACCUCUGUGCCAGCAGCUUAGCCACAGCACUGCAGAAUCACCCUGUGCAGGUGCAGAAACCCUGGUGCUUCUUUCUCUGUCUCCCAGAUUUUCUCAGCAGUCAUCCCAGGCUGCCACCCUAUCUCAGGAAGGAUGGGGGUUUGGUGGUCUACCUGACUUAG